GGAAGGCGGCGGAAAGCGCCCCAAGGUACGGCGAGGCCUUCGAAUGCCCCCGAAGGCUUUGGCCGCUGGCUGCUCCCGGCGUGGGCCGGGAGGCGAAGCACAGUAGGCCUCGCCUAGUGCGGAGCGCUGGGGAUCUGGAGUCGUGCCUGGGAGCGCCUGUAGGGGUCCCACUUAGCAACUUCAUGUUUGCAAUAUUCUAAACAUGGAUGAUCAUACCUAAAUUAGAAGCAAUGCUCAGGACUUCUUAGGAACGAAUAAUUCCUUCUGCUAGAAGGCUUCUCAAGUAUGUUGAUGUUUCAUGAACGUGUGUGAAGUAUCUUGAGUGAAAAGGGUUCCUUGUAAAUUGAUUGCUCUCCAGGGAGGAAACCAACACCUGCAAGGGGUUGGAACUGAUAACAAACAUCAGCUUAUGAUUUGAUGAGCAGCUGGUUUAUGAAUUCACACUAGAUGACUCCAGUUGUCGCCUGGAAUGUAUUGCCUUGAAAGUGAAAUUGAGACAAGCGGUGGCUAAAACUACACAUUUUCGAUGAUCAUGUUUAAAUGGGAACCUCGUUUGUUGAAACUGAGGUUUCUUAACAUAAACUGCUGUAAUUUAUUUUUAUGUUUGUGUGGAUUAAUUGAAAUAAAC
Egretta garzetta (little egret) is the source of this 628-nucleotide long non-coding RNA. RefSeq lists it as uncharacterized. The record is from RefSeq and is a predicted model, not a curated record. The transcript is spliced from 4 exons. Lineage: Eukaryota; Metazoa; Chordata; Aves; Pelecaniformes; Ardeidae.